This 20-nucleotide unclassified non-coding RNA is filed under the name Dictyostelium discoideum. Lineage: Eukaryota; Evosea; Eumycetozoa; Dictyosteliales; Dictyosteliaceae. The record is from RNAcentral.
UUGUCAAACUAGGUUUCAAG